AGUGAACGCUGGCGGUAGGCCUAACACAUGCAAGUCGAACGGCAGCACAGUAAGAGCUUGCUCUUACGGGUGGCGAGUGGCGGACGGGUGAGGAAUACAUCGGAAUCUACUUUUUCGUGGGGGAUAACGUAGGGAAACUUACGCUAAUACCGCAUACGACCUACGGGUGAAAGCAGGGGAUCUUCGGACCUUGCGCGAUUGAAUGAGCCGAUGUCGGAUUAGCUAGUUGGCGGGGUAAAGGCCCACCAAGGCGACGAUCCGUAGCUGGUCUGAGAGGAUGAUCAGCCACACUGGAAAGGAGACACGGUCCAGACUCCUACGGGAGGCAGCAGUGGGGAAUAUUGGACAAUGGGCGCAAGCCUGAUCCAGCCAUACCGCGUGGGUGAAGAAGGCCUUCGGGUUGUAAAGCCCUUUUGUUGGGAAAGAAAAGCAGCAGGUUAAUACCCCGCUGUUCUGACGGUACCCAAAGAAUAAGCACCGGCUAACUUCGUG
This 492-nucleotide ribosomal RNA is filed under the name uncultured bacterium. RNAcentral describes it as "partial 16S ribosomal RNA". It matches the Rfam family "Bacterial small subunit ribosomal RNA", at positions 29 to 507 of the family's 1533-position model. The record is from RNAcentral.